CCUACGGGAGGCAGCAGUGAGGAAUAUUGGUCAAUGGCCGUAAGGCUGAACCAGCCAAGUAGCGUGAGGGAAGACUGCCCUAUGGGUUGUAAACCUCUUUUAUGCGGGGAUAAAGUUGUCCACGUGUGGCUGUUUGCAGGUACCGUAUGAAUAAGGACCGGCUAACUCCGUGCCAGCAGCCGCGGUAAUACGGAGGGUCCGGGCGUUAUCCGGAUUUAUUGGGUUUAAAGGGAGCGUAGGUCGGUCUUUAAGUCAGUUGUGAAAGUUUGCGGCUCAACCAUGAGAGUGCAGUGGAAACUGGAGGCCUUGAGUGCGCGGGAGGCAGGCGGAAUUCGUGGUGUAGCGGUGAAAUGCUUAGAUAUCACGAAGAACCCCGAUUGCGAAGGCAGCCUACCGAAGCGUUACUGACGCUGAAGCUCGAAAGCGCGGGUAUCGAACAGGAUUAGAUACCCUGGUAGUC
This 460-nucleotide ribosomal RNA is filed under the name uncultured bacterium. Its description in RNAcentral is "partial 16S ribosomal RNA". It matches the Rfam family "Bacterial small subunit ribosomal RNA", at positions 338 to 795 of the family's 1533-position model. The record is from RNAcentral.